This 821-nucleotide ribosomal RNA is filed under the name Bacillus subtilis. RNAcentral's name for it is "bacterial SSU rRNA". It matches the Rfam family "Bacterial small subunit ribosomal RNA", at positions 72 to 877 of the family's 1533-position model. Lineage: Bacteria; Bacillati; Bacillota; Bacilli; Caryophanales; Bacillaceae. The record is from RNAcentral.
AUGGGAGCUUGCUCCCUGAUGUUAGCGGCGGACGGGUGAGUAACACGUGGGUAACCUGCCUGUAAGACUGGGAUAACUCCGGGAAACCGGGGCUAAUACCGGAUGGUUGUUUGAACCGCAUGGUUCAAACAUAAAAGGUGGCUUCGGCUACCACUUACAGAUGGACCCGCGGCGCAUUAGCUAGUUGGUGAGGUAACGGCUCACCAAGGCAACGAUGCGUAGCCGACCUGAGAGGGUGAUCGGCCACACUGGGACUGAGACACGGCCCAGACUCCUACGGGAGGCAGCAGUAGGGAAUCUUCCGCAAUGGACGAAAGUCUGACGGAGCAACGCCGCGUGAGUGAUGAAGGUUUUCGGAUCGUAAAGCUCUGUUGUUAGGGAAGAACAAGUACCGUUCGAAUAGGGCGGUACCUUGACGGUACCUAACCAGAAAGCCACGGCUAACUACGUGCCAGCAGCCGCGGUAAUACGUAGGUGGCAAGCGUUGUCCGGAAUUAUUGGGCGUAAAGGGCUCGCAGGCGGUUUCUUAAGUCUGAUGUGAAAGCCCCCGGCUCAACCGGGGAGGGUCAUUGGAAACUGGGGAACUUGAGUGCAGAAGAGGAGAGUGGAAUUCCACGUGUAGCGGUGAAAUGCGUAGAGAUGUGGAGGAACACCAGUGGCGAAGGCGACUCUCUGGUCUGUAACUGACGCUGAGGAGCGAAAGCGUGGGGAGCGAACAGGAUUAUAUACCCUGGUACUCCACGCCGUAAACGAUGAGUGCUAAGUGUUAGGGGGUUUCGCCCCUUAGUGCUGCAGCUAACGCAUUAAGCACUCCGCCUGGG